AAGAGUAGGGAAGUCUGACUGC
RNAcentral lists this microRNA (22 nucleotides) under Chiloscyllium plagiosum (whitespotted bambooshark). RNAcentral describes it as "microRNA PC-3p-288548_2". Lineage: Eukaryota; Metazoa; Chordata; Chondrichthyes; Orectolobiformes; Hemiscylliidae. The record is from RNAcentral.